AGGACGAACGCUGGCGGCGUGCUUAACACAUGCAAGUCGAGCGGUAAGGCCUCUUCGGGGGUACACGAGCGGCGAACAGGUGAGUAACACGUGAGCAAUCUGCCCUUCACUUCGGGAUAAGCCUCGGAAACGGGGUCUAAUACCGGAUAUGACCGUGCCAUGCAUGUGGUGUGGUGGAAAGUUCUGGCGGUGGAGGAUGAGCUCGCGGCCUAUCAGCUUGUUGGUGGGGUAAUGGCCUACCAAGGCUUCGACGGGUAGCCGGCCUGAGAGGGUGACCGGCCACACUGGGACUGAGACACGGCCCAGACUCCUACGGGAGGCAGCAGUGGGGAAUAUUGGACAAUGGGCGAAAGCCUGAUCCAGCAACGCCGCGUGAGGAUGACGGCCUUCGGGUUGUAAACCGUCUUUCAGCGCCGACGAAGCGAGAGUGACGGUAGGCGCAGAAGAAGCACCGGCCAACUACGUGCCAGCAGCCGC
Molecule: ribosomal RNA, 477 nt
Filed under: uncultured soil bacterium
Lineage: Bacteria
Description: bacterial SSU rRNA
Rfam family: Bacterial small subunit ribosomal RNA
Source: RNAcentral